UGAGAAAGGCCUGAUGAUUACCAUCCCCUUGAGAGUUCCCCUUCCUUGAAUGGCCAUGGGGCCCUCCAAGAAAACAGAUGUGAAGGCCCUUCUAAAUAGCAAAGCCAUAUAUAAGCAUCCGGUGUAACUAACACAGAUGGCUUCACACUCAUGGAGGGCUUAUCUCAAAAGUUUUGCAAGCCUACGUUCCCAGACUCUCCCAAGUUUCAUCUGGGUAUAUGACCACCCAAAAGAGGACAACAUUGCCCACCUAUGUUGCAGCUCAGUACAGUCAUGAGAUGAAGUUCCAGAGGUGGAAAUGAUGUGUAUAUCUCCCAUCGCCCAUUCUUUUAAAAAAGCUGUUUGUGCCUUUCACUUCCUCCUUUUCUUUUUUUUCCUGUGGGUUGGGACCUGGAUGUGGCAGUGAUGAAACAACUUUGACCAUUCAGAAGAGAAUCUUAUCCCGAGGAGUGGCUGAGCCGCAAGGCAGAAGGGAUAAUGGCCCUGGAUGACAUAGAAGAGAGCAAAAUACCUAUUUUGAAUGAAUGGCCUGUUCACUCUUGUUAAGUGCAAAAUUUGUAUCAUGCUGGAAUCAUUGUACUUUCGGCUUAGCUGUGCCCUAAAAUAAUGUGUUAUGUAUUAAACUAUAG
Molecule: long non-coding RNA, 629 nt
Filed under: Mustela putorius furo (domestic ferret)
Lineage: Eukaryota; Metazoa; Chordata; Mammalia; Carnivora; Mustelidae
Description: lncRNA (ENSMPUG00000029642.1)
Source: RNAcentral